GAUCCUGGCUUAGGACGAACGCUGGCGGUGUGCCUCAUACAUGCAAGUCGAACGAUAAGGUCUCUUCGGAGAUACAUAAGUGGCGGACGGGUGAGUACAACAUAGGAAAUCUGCCCUAAAGCGGGGGACAACAGAGGGAAACUUCUGCUAAUACCCCAUAUGAGCUUAGUUGAAAUACUAAUCUUGAAAGAUUUAUCACUUUAGGAUGAGCCUGUGCCUGAUUAGCUGGUUGGUGGCGUAAUGGACUACCAAGGCGACGAUCAGUAGCUGGUUUGAGAGGAUGAUCAGCCACAAUGGGACUGAGACACGGCCCAUACUCCUACGGGAGGCAGCAGUAGGGAAUUUUGCGCAAUGGGCGAAAGCCUGAACCGCAGCAACACCGCGUGAAUGUUAAGCCCUUCGGGGUGUAAAGUUCUGUCAGUAGGGAAGAACAAAUGACUGUACCUGCAAAGGAAGCACCGGCUAACUCCGUGCCAGCCGCUGC
RNAcentral lists this ribosomal RNA (484 nucleotides) under uncultured bacterium. Its description in RNAcentral is "bacterial SSU rRNA". It matches the Rfam family "Bacterial small subunit ribosomal RNA", at positions 15 to 518 of the family's 1533-position model. The record is from RNAcentral.